GACGAACGCUGGCGGCGUGCUUAACACAUGCAAGUCGAACGGUGAAGCGCCUUCCUUUUUGGUGGGUGUGGAUGAGUGGCGAACGGGUGAGUAACACGUGAGUAACCUGCCCCCUUCUUCUGGAUAACCGCAUGAAAGUGUGGCUAAUACGGGAUAUUCUGGGUCUGUCGCAUGAUGGGUCUGGGAAAGAUAUUGUUUCGGUGGGGGAUGGGCUCGCGGCCUAUCAGCUUGUUGGUGGGGUGAUGGCCCACCAAGGCGGUGACGGGUAGCCGGCCUGAGAGGGUGGACGGUCACACUGGGACUGAGACACGGCCCAGACUCCUACGGGAGGCAGCAGUGGGGAAUAUUGCACAAUGGGCGCAAGCCUGAUGCAGCGACGCCGCGUGAGGGAUGGAGGCCUUCGGGUUGUGAACCUCUUUCGCCAGUGAAGCAGGCCUGCCUCGUUUGUGGGUGGGUUGACGGUAGCUGGAGAAGAAGCGCCGGCUAACUACGUG
Molecule: ribosomal RNA, 494 nt
Filed under: uncultured bacterium
Lineage: Bacteria
Description: partial 16S ribosomal RNA
Rfam family: Bacterial small subunit ribosomal RNA
Source: RNAcentral